This 77-nucleotide transfer RNA is filed under the name Salmonella enterica subsp. enterica. Its description in RNAcentral is "tRNA-Ile". RNAcentral also lists the same sequence under 3 other names. Lineage: Bacteria; Pseudomonadati; Pseudomonadota; Gammaproteobacteria; Enterobacterales; Enterobacteriaceae. The record is from RNAcentral.
AACUUAUUGUUUUAUAAUGUUUAAGUUUGGGACUCAUAAUCGCUUGGUCGCUGGUUCAAGUCCAGCAGGGGCCACCA